Molecule: ribosomal RNA, 2718 nt
Filed under: Pallidophorina paarla
Lineage: Eukaryota; Fungi; Ascomycota; Leotiomycetes; Phacidiales
Description: partial 18S ribosomal RNA
Rfam family: Eukaryotic small subunit ribosomal RNA (bases 1-2230)
Source: RNAcentral
AAGUAUAAGCAAUAUAUACAGUGAAACUGCGAAUGGCUCAUUAAAUCAGUUAUCGUUUAUUUGAUAGUACCUUACUACUUGGAUAACCGUGGUAAUUCUAGAGCUAAUACAUGCUAAAAACCUCGACUUCGGAAGGGGUGUAUUUAUUAGAUAAAAAACCAAUGCCCUUCGGGGCUCCUUGGUGAUUCAUAAUAACUUAACGAAUCGCAUGGCCUUGUGCCGGCGAUGGUUCAUUCAAAUUUCUGCCCUAUCAACUUUCGAUGGUAGGAUAGUGGCCUACCAUGGUUUCAACGGGUAACGGGGAAUUAGGGUUCUAUUCCGGAGAGGGAGCCUGAGAAACGGCUACCACAUCCAAGGAAGGCAGCAGGCGCGCAAAUUACCCAAUCCCGACACGGGGAGGUAGUGACAAUAAAUACUGAUACAGGGCUCUUUUGGGUCUUGUAAUUGGAAUGAGUACAAUUUAAAUCCCUUAACGUUAGGGGAUUGACAACGAGUCGCGCUCUGCGGCGACACCUCCACUCUUCGAGGACCGUCAUCUGACGGAAUUCGAGGCAUAGCAAUCCGCCGUGUUAAGAGACCAGAUGGAGGUGGGCAACAGCUGUUGUUUUAGGUAUGGCCCAAUCCUGUGAGCAAUCACUGGUAGCAAUGUAACGAGGAACAAUUGGAGGGCAAGUCUGGUGCCAGCAGCCGCGGUAAUUCCAGCUCCAAUAGCGUAUAUUAAAGUUGUUGCAGUUAAAAAGCUCGUAGUUGAACCUUGGGCCUGGCUGGCCGGUCCGCCUCACCGCGUGCACUGGUCCGGCCGGGCCUUUCCUUCUGGGGAACCGCAUGCCCUUCACUGGGUGUGUCGGGGAAUCAGGACUUUUACUUUGAAAAAAUUAGAGUGUUCAAAGCAGGCCUAUGCUCGAAUACAUUAGCAUGGAAUAAUAGAAUAGGACGUGUGGUUCUAUUUUGUUGGUUUCUAGGACCGCCGUAAUGAUUAAUAGGGAUAGUCGGGGGCAUCAGUAUUCAAUUGUCAGAGGUGAAAUUCUUGGAUUUAUUGAAGACUAACUACUGCGAAAGCAUUUGCCAAGGAUGUUUUCAUUAAUCAGUGAACGAAAGUUAGGGGAUCGAAGACGAUCAGAUACCGUCGUAGUCUUAACCAUAAACUAUGCCGACUAGGGAUCGGGCGAUGUUAUCUUUUUGACUCGCUCGGCACCUUACGAGAAAUCAAAGUUUUUGGGUUCUGGGGGGAGUAUGGUCGCAAGGCUGAAACUUAAAGAAAUUGACGGAAGGGCACCACCAGGAGUUAAACGCGCAGUCACUCUGCUCCUCACGACAGCCUGAAAAGGUCGGUGGGUGGUCCUAGCACAUGCUGAAAAAUGUCCAAGUACGCGCAGUUUCUGCGGUGCGAUACACCUAAAUUGCGAGAAUGUUCUAAUGCUCCCGCUACUGAGUCUGAGUCGAAAGGCCGGGCGCUGGUAACAAUGCGGGAGAUGCUACAAUGGACAACUCGCAGCCUCCUACCUAACGCGAACGCCAUGGUAGGGGGUUCAGAGAUUACACAGGUGUGGAUGAAGCUCACGAUUGUCACCGAUCGCGCGGUUUAUCUAAGGUAUAAUCCAAACUCAGUCGCAAGAUUGCAGUAUUGAUUGGGAGCCUGCGGCUUAAUUUGACUCAACACGGGGAAACUCACCAGGUCCAGACACAAUAAGGAUUGACAGAUUGAGAGCUCUUUCUUGAUUUUGUGGGUGGUAAACGUUCAUACACUGCCACCGAAAGCACUCGCAGCAAUGCGGGUGCCUAGUCUGCUCAUCGCAGGCGACGCUCCUACAGUGCUGAGAUCCGCCGGCAACGGUGGUAUCAGCGAUCAGGGCCCCUCGGGGCGCUGGUUCACAGACUAAGCAGGUGCGGACCGCAGGACGACACUGAAGUCCACGGUUUGAGAUAUAGUCGAACCCCAGGCGUAAUCGUCCGGGUGUCAGUGGGUGCAUGGCCGUUCUUAGUUGGUGGAGUGAUUUGUCUGCUUAAUUGCGAUAACGAACGAGACCUUAACCUGCUAAAUAGCCAGGCUAGCUUUGGCUGGUCGCCGGCUUCUUAGAGGGACUAUCGGCUCAAGCCGAUGGAAGUUUGAGGCAAUAACAGGUCUGUGAUGCCCUUAGAUCUAGGGGUCGUCGGUUGGCAGUCUCGCCUGUUCGCAGGUGAGGUCUGCUGGCAUUUGGAGUCACUGCUCUCCGGAGCGGUGGCAACACUCUUAGUUUCUGGGAAGCAAUCGGGGUGGAGUAAAAUCCUCCUGAUGGUAACCCGGAGCCGUGAGCAGCAGCCCACGGUCAAGAGACUAAAUAGGAGUGGGGUGACGCGAGUUACCUUAAGAUAUAGCCCAAUCCCGUCGCGAAAGCAACUGGAACCUCUCGCCGCUGGCGUUGGGUGCAAAUGUAGAUGUUCUGGGCCGCACGCGCGCUACACUGACAGAGCCAACGAGUUCAUCACCUUGGCCGAAAGGUCUGGGUAAUCUUGUUAAACUCUGUCGUGCUGGGGAUAGAGCAUUGCAAUUAUUGCUCUUCAACGAGGAAUUCCUAGUAGGCGCAAGUCAUCAGCUUGUGCCGACUACGUCCCUGCCCUUUGUACACACCGCCCGUCGCUACUACCGAUUGAAUGGCUCAGUGAGGCUUUCGGACUGGCUCAGGGAGGUCGGCAACGACCACCCAGAGCCGGAAAGUUGUUCAAACUUGGUCAUUUAGA